UACGUAGGUCCCGAACGUUGCGCGAAUUUACUGGGCGUAAAGGGUCCGUAGGCGGUUUAGCAAGUGGUUGGUGAAAUUUCACGGCUCAACCGUGAAACUGCCUUCCAAACUGCUAAACUUGAGGCAGGGAGAGGUCGGCGGAAUUCCCGGUGUAGCGGUGAAAUGCGUGGAUAUCGGGAGGAACACCAGUGGCGAAGGCGGCCGACUGGAACCGGCCUGACCCUGCGGGGCGAACGCGUGGGGCGCGUGCCGA
Molecule: ribosomal RNA, 253 nt
Filed under: uncultured bacterium
Lineage: Bacteria
Description: partial 16S ribosomal RNA
Rfam family: Bacterial small subunit ribosomal RNA
Source: RNAcentral